This 1016-nucleotide ribosomal RNA is filed under the name Moraxella sp. RNAcentral describes it as "bacterial SSU rRNA". It matches the Rfam family "Bacterial small subunit ribosomal RNA", at positions 61 to 1075 of the family's 1533-position model. The record is from RNAcentral. Lineage: Bacteria; Pseudomonadati; Pseudomonadota; Gammaproteobacteria; Moraxellales; Moraxellaceae.
GUCGAACGAUGAUUAUCUAGCUUGCUAGAUAUGAUUAGUGGCGGACGGGUGAGUAACAUUUAGGAAUCUGCCUAGUAGUGGGGGAUAGCUCGGGGAAACUCGAAUUAAUACCGCAUACGACCUACGGGUGAAAGGGGGCGCAAGCUCUUGCUAUUAGAUGAGCCUAAAUCAGAUUAGCUAGUUGGUGGGGUAAAGGCCCACCAAGGCGACGAUCUGUAACUGGUCUGAGAGGAUGAUCAGUCACACCGGAACUGAGACACGGUCCGGACUCCUACGGGAGGCAGCAGUGGGGAAUAUUGGACAAUGGGGGCAACCCUGAUCCAGCCAUGCCGCGUGUGUGAAGAAGGCCUUUUGGUUGUAAAGCACUUUAAGCAGGGAGGAGAGGCUAAUGGUUAAUACCCAUUAGAUUAGACGUUACCUGCAGAAUAAGCACCGGCUAACUCUGUGCCAGCAGCCGCGGUAAUACAGAGGGUGCGAGCGUUAAUCGGAAUUACUGGGCGUAAAGCGAGUGUAGGUGGCUCAUUAAGUCACAUGUGAAAUCCCCGGGCUUAACCUGGGAACUGCAUGUGAUACUGGUGGUGCUAGAAUAUGUGAGAGGGAAGUAGAAUUCCAGGUGUAGCGGUGAAAUGCGUAGAGAUCUGGAGGAAUACCGAUGGCGAAGGCAGCUUCCUGGCAUAAUAUUGACACUGAGAUUCGAAAGCGUGGGUAGCAAACAGGAUUAGAUACCCUGGUAGUCCACGCCGUAAACGAUGUCUACUAGCCGUUGGGGUCCUUGAGACUUUAGUGGCGCAGUUAACGCGAUAAGUAGACCGCCUGGGGAGUACGGCCGCAAGGUUAAAACUCAAAUGAAUUGACGGGGGCCCGCACAAGCGGUGGAGCAUGUGGUUUAAUUCGAUGCAACGCGAAGAACCUUACCUGGUCUUGACAUAGUGAGAAUCCUGCAGAGAUGCGGGAGUGCCUUCGGGAAUUCACAUACAGGUGCUGCAUGGCUGUCGUCAGCUCGUGUCGUGAGAUGU